This 449-nucleotide long non-coding RNA is filed under the name Carica papaya (papaya). RNAcentral describes it as "long non-coding RNA (CPAP_LNC015146)". Lineage: Eukaryota; Viridiplantae; Streptophyta; Magnoliopsida; Brassicales; Caricaceae. The record is from RNAcentral.
GAUGACUUUUUAGGAGGGACAUUAGGAGUAAGCAGAGCAAAAGCUUGUUGUAAUGGGUUAGGGUUUGCUAUGCUGAAUGCAGAGACUACAUAUAUGACCAGUGAUAGUGAGAGAAAGGAAGGGAAAUGGUUAAGUUGGAUAAUGCCCAGUACCGGGAAGUUAGAUGUAAAUUUUUUACUCGUUUUGAUGUGAAUUUUAAAUCUUACUUACUAGGCUAUAUAGCUCAUUACAUGUUAUAUAUUACAAAGCAAAUAAAACAAGAGUAAGAAUCGGAUGUACAAGAAGCGUGUGUUCAAACUUUGGAAUAAGUAAGGCGUACCAUAGAGCAAUUAUCGUUGACUUAGAGCAUGGUAUGAGAUUGUUUUGAUAUCAUUACACAUAUACAUGUCUCAUUUAGAUGGAAUUACUUAUACUUCCAUUAUUAACACUUGAUAAUCUAGUUUGGCAUU